CAGCUCGUGUCGUGAGAUGUUGGGUUAAGUCCCGCAACGAGCGCAACCCUUGUUNUUAGUUGCCUUUUAUGGAACUCUAAAAAGACUGCCGGUUAUAAACCGGAGGAAGGUGGGGAUGACGUCAAGUCAGCAUGCCCCUUACACCCUGGGCUACACACGUGCUACAUUGGGCGAGACAAUGAGAUGCAAAUCUGUGAAGACUAGCUAAUCUAUAAACUCGUUCUAAGUUCGGAUUGUAGGCUGCAACUCGCCUACAUGAAGGUGGAAUCGCUAGUAAUCGCUGGU
This 285-nucleotide ribosomal RNA is filed under the name uncultured cyanobacterium. Its description in RNAcentral is "partial 16S ribosomal RNA". It matches the Rfam family "Bacterial small subunit ribosomal RNA", at positions 1056 to 1349 of the family's 1533-position model. Lineage: Bacteria; Bacillati; Cyanobacteriota. The record is from RNAcentral.